Long non-coding RNA from Gossypium raimondii (Peruvian cotton), 749 nucleotides. RefSeq lists it as uncharacterized. Lineage: Eukaryota; Viridiplantae; Streptophyta; Magnoliopsida; Malvales; Malvaceae. The transcript is spliced from 2 exons. The record is from RefSeq and is a predicted model, not a curated record.
UUAAGCAAAUUUCUCAACACUUAUAUGAAAUUUUCAACAAAAACCAAAUUGUGCAAGUUUGUUGCCUCCAACCAAACUAUUGCAAAAUUUCUCCAAGCAAAAUCCACUUCCAACACAUUGUUACCCCAAGCCUUGACCAAAAAGGAAUACCUUUUGUUUAUGGUUGAAAUGCUCAAUUCAAUGGACUCUGAAUCAGAAGACGAAAAGUAAAAAACAUCAUGAAUCAAAACGGUCAAUCUUGCAGAUGAAACUACAACGACGACAUUCACUAAAACUUAGAAGAAGUUAUCUACAAAAAGAAGUCUGGAAACACGAAUCAACAAACACCGGUACAGUACAAGCCCAAAAUCUCGACAAAAAAGUGAAGAUAGUGGGUUGCAUGAAGAUUUGGGCAUAGGCACAAGAAAUUGACGUACAAAGGCUUUUUAGACUUUGGGAUUAUUUUCUAUUUUUAUUUGUAAAAAAUAUAUUUUUAGGAGUUCAAUUAAGAUUGAAUUUUAUCAUUUAUCUUUUAUUUAGAUAGAUAAAUAUUUUAUCUUAACGAGUGUUUAGGAGUAAAACUAGGCAUUUGUUUUCAGCUGAAAAAGAGGAGGUUUGAGGUUGUACCUCAAUCACUAUAAUUGACUUAUUGAUGGGUGAGAAGAUACUUAUAAUUAGUGAUCAAUUGUGAAACUGAGUCUAUCAUUACAUCGGAGGUCGGAGCUUUUAUUAAUUGAUUUUAUUCUACUUAUUUUUAAAAUUACUAUUUA